This 253-nucleotide ribosomal RNA is filed under the name uncultured bacterium. RNAcentral describes it as "partial 16S ribosomal RNA". It matches the Rfam family "Bacterial small subunit ribosomal RNA", at positions 524 to 776 of the family's 1533-position model. The record is from RNAcentral.
UACGUAGGGUGCAAGCGUUAAUCGGAAUUACUGGGCGUAAAGCGUGCGCAGGCGGUUUCGUAAGUCUGUCGUGAAAUCCCCGGGCUUAACCUGGGAACGGCGAUGGAGACUGCGCGGCUAGAGUUUGGCAGAGGGGGGUAGAAUUCCACGUGUAGCAGUGAAAUGCGUAGAGAUGUGGAGGAACACCGAUGGCGAAGGCAGCCCCCUGGGUCAAAACUGACGCUCAUGCACGAAAGCGUGGGGAGCAAACAGG